RNAcentral lists this long non-coding RNA (1160 nucleotides) under Homo sapiens (human). RNAcentral's name for it is "novel transcript". Lineage: Eukaryota; Metazoa; Chordata; Mammalia; Primates; Hominidae. The record is from RNAcentral.
ACUGUUGAGCCAAGUCCUUGGUUUCUAUUACCUGCUCAACUCCUUCUGUGCAUAGCUCCUGACUGCCGAGCUGGGAAGAACUCCAGUCCUUUCCUAGGCUAGGGAUUUUAACAACGGAACAAAAUCCCAGUGCUCUUCAAGGUGACAAGGGGAACCACUAAGGUUUCACAAGGCACAGUUUGUGAACAACUGAUUGGAGCCAGCCUCAUCAGGCUAGAUGUACCUAUAGCAACCAGCAUGGAUCUCAAAAACAUAGUACCAAACGAAAUAAGACAGACUGAGGAGAUGUCCCUGAGGAACCCUGGUAUCUGAGAAAUCCUACCUGGAAACUUCUGGCCUAUGAAAUCCAAACAGCCAAUCAAGGUGCUCAUUUGCUUCAAGAUCAUGGUCUCCGGAGAGGCAAAUUGCCAUGUACAGUUCCAUCUGGUAUCUCUGCUGGGCUGCUCACCUGGUCCACCCUUCAAGAUGGCAUUGGUCUAAACUUCCCACCAAACUAUCUAGUCUCACUCAGCUACUCGUACUCCCAGUCAGCCUAGUCCCAAGGGACCAUGAAGGGACCAUGCCUUCCUCUUGACCCUAAUGUCCCUUGUAUUUGUCAGACACCCUCCCAGAGGGCAGGGAACAGACUCUGGGGAGCCCUGAAACCAGAGAAACCCAGGACAAGCUAUUUCCAACUCAGAAUGUUCUGGCCACCCACCCAGGCUUUGUCUGAUUUCUGAUGUUCUUUAGAAUCUUCUCAUUACAUCACUAAGAAAAGCAUGAUUAAGUCCAUACACACACACACACACACACACGCACACACACAUACAUAUAAAAGAUAAAUGUGUAUCUUUAAUAACUUUUAUUAUGUUUUCUGAUUACAAAAGUAAUAUAUUGCCACAAUAUUAGAAGAACUGUAUCGAAUACAGAAAAUUAUAAAAAAUAAAAAAGAUAAAGUAUAAGGCCUCCACACAGAGAUAGGCAUUAUUAAUUCUUUGGUAUAGUCCCUUUGAAUAUUUUUAUAUGAAUACAUUCACAUUUGUUCAUACAAUUUAGAUUAUAAUUCUAUAACUAUAGGUUACAUGUCAUUGAAAAAUUCUUCAAGAACAAAAUUUUGAAUAACUCAAUUAUAUUUCUUCGAUUGGGGUAUACUUGUUCAAUAAACAAUAACUCACAUUUAU